Molecule: ribosomal RNA, 744 nt
Filed under: Enterococcus sp. M443
Lineage: Bacteria; Bacillati; Bacillota; Bacilli; Lactobacillales; Enterococcaceae
Description: bacterial SSU rRNA
Rfam family: Bacterial small subunit ribosomal RNA
Source: RNAcentral
UGCUAUACAUGCAAGUCGAACGCUUCUUUUUCCACCGGAGCUUGCUCCACCGGAAAAAGAGGAGUGGCGAACGGGUGAGUAACACGUGGGUAACCUGCCCAUCAGAAGGGGAUAACACUUGGAAACAGGUGCUAAUACCGUAUAACAAUCAAAACCGCAUGGUUUUGAUUUGAAAGGCGCUUUCGGGUGUCGCUGAUGGAUGGACCCGCGGUGCAUUAGCUAGUUGGUGAGGUAACGGCUCACCAAGGCCACGAUGCAUAGCCGACCUGAGAGGGUGAUCGGCCACAUUGGGACUGAGACACGGCCCAAACUCCUACGGGAGGCAGCAGUAGGGAAUCUUCGGCAAUGGACGAAAGUCUGACCGAGCAACGCCGCGUGAGUGAAGAAGGUUUUCGGAUCGUAAAACUCUGUUGUUAGAGAAGAACAAGGAUGAGAGUAACUGUUCAUCCCUUGACGGUAUCUAACCAGAAAGCCACGGCUAACUACGUGCCAGCAGCCGCGGUAAUACGUAGGUGGCAAGCGUUGUCCGGAUUUAUUGGGCGUAAAGCGAGCGCAGGCGGUUUCUUAAGUCUGAUGUGAAAGCCCCCGGCUCAACCGGGGAGGGUCAUUGGAAACUGGGAGACUUGAGUGCAGAAGAGGAGAGUGGAAUUCCAUGUGUAGCGGUGAAAUGCGUAGAUAUAUGGAGGAACACCAGUGGCGAAGGCGGCUCUCUGGUCUGUAACUGACGCUGAGGCUCGAAAGCGU